GGCAUUAUAGCUCAGUGUGGAGUGUGUGCUUAGAAUGCACAAGGCCCUGGGUUCAACCCCCAGUACCU
RNAcentral lists this transfer RNA (68 nucleotides) under Camelus bactrianus (Bactrian camel). It matches the Rfam family "tRNA". Rfam says of the family: Transfer RNA (tRNA) molecules are approximately 80 nucleotides in length. Their secondary structure includes four short double-helical elements and three loops (D, anti-codon, and T loops). Further hydrogen bonds mediate the characteristic L-shaped molecular structure. tRNAs have two regions of fundamental functional importance: the anti-codon, which is responsible for specific mRNA codon recognition, and the 3' end, to which the tRNAs corresponding amino acid is attached (by aminoacyl-tRNA synthetases). tRNAs cope with the degeneracy of the genetic code in two manners: having more than one tRNA (with a specific anti-codon) for a particular amino acid; and 'wobble' base-pairing, i.e. permitting non-standard base-pairing at the 3rd anti-codon position. Lineage: Eukaryota; Metazoa; Chordata; Mammalia; Artiodactyla; Camelidae. The record is from Rfam by way of RNAcentral. RNAcentral also lists the same sequence under 2 other names.